RNAcentral lists this ribosomal RNA (393 nucleotides) under uncultured bacterium. Its description in RNAcentral is "partial 16S ribosomal RNA". It matches the Rfam family "Bacterial small subunit ribosomal RNA", at positions 523 to 918 of the family's 1533-position model. The record is from RNAcentral.
AUACGGAGGAUCCGAGCGUUAUCCGGAUUUAUUGGGGUUAAAGGGAGCGUAGGUGGACAGUUAAGUCAGUUGUGAAAGUUUGCGGCUCGACCGUAAAAUUGCAGUUGAUACUGGCUGUCUUGAGUACAGUAGAGGUGGGCGGAAUUCGUGGGGUAGCGGGGAAAUGCUUAGAUAAGACGAAGAACUCCGAUUGCGAAGGCAGCUCACUGGACUGCAACUGACACUGAUGCUCGAAAGUGUGGGUAUCAAACAGGAUUAGAUACCCUGGUAGUCCACACAGUAAACGAUGAAUACUCGCUGUUUGCGAUAUACAGUAAGCGGCCAAGCGAAAGCAUUAAGUAUUCCACCUGGGGAGUACGCCGGCAACGGUGAAACUCAAAUGAAUUGACGGGG